UCCUUUGUAUUUACAAUCAGCACCAUAAAAUUUAAACCAUCAGAAAUCAUUAUAACAAUUACUAAGACAACUUUCAUAUUAAAAAAAGAAGAAUGCUAAUAAAAAAAAAAAGUGGGACUUGAUUCCAGGGCCUUCACUUGAUUCUUAAUUUGGAGGAUUAAAAGCAUCCACACUACUAUACUGGGCAUUCUUCUUUUUCAUUCUCUUUGUCUAUACAGAAAAUCAGCACAAAUAAGUUAAAAACAGAGAAAUUACAAUCUUCUUGUCCAUAAUCACUAGUUUAAUUGUGAAGUGGGUGGUUUGAACUUGUCACCUUGAUUUCUGAUGUUCGAAUUCAGUUUUCUUGUGGCACUAUUUGUCAGAAAAUUGUUAAUAUCUCUUGCGUAUGGAGGCAUACUCUUGCUGCCAACUUCAAGGAACGGAAAAAUAUAUUCUCUUGGGGAGGGGAAUCAGUGGGCAACUUGGCCAUGCCUAUACUCUAGACAGGAAUACACUGAAGAUGAUAGAGAUUUUGAGUGCUGAUGGAUCUGCUUGGAAGCAGAUUGAAACGUCAAAAACAGAGGCAGUAUCAGGUGGCAACUCUAUCAAUUAUUUUCCUGACUAAACUUACAGAAUGCAAACAAUAUCCUAAUUUUUUCAAUCUGUUGGAUAGGCAAAGUCUGGAUCUGAUAGAUAUGCAAUUGUUCCUGAUGAUAAAGGUAAUAGUUAUUUAGAAUAGGAAAUAUGAACCAUGUUAAAUUUAUGUGACAGAGUAAAAAUAAAUUUUCCUACAUGAUGCUGUAAUUGUGUUUUCAGGUUUCAAAAGGCAAUGAUGCCAAUGUACCCAGGAACGAUGCCAACUGUAUCAGAAUCUAAGAGUGUCAUAUUCCUUCUUCAUCUUCUUAUACUAAUAUCAAAUCAAUAAUAUGAGUUUGUCAUAUUCCUUUAUCUCCUUAAACUGGUACCAAAUCAACAUAUAUAUUUGCUGUCCAACGCUAUUAUUACCUGAAUCCAGUUGCAUUGAAGAACUACACGAGUACAUGUUUGUGCUAUGAAUGAAUAAAAAUAGAUAAGUGUGUUGGUCUUUCUUAGGAAUGCUGCUUUAGGUGGAGGGAAAACAUUUUUGAAUUUUCAGAAAUUCUCUUGAGGAAUUAAGCAUUGAAUUUUGGACUGUUUUAUUCUUCUUUUCUUCUUUUUUUCCCAAACAAACUCAAUUCAAAUGCAUAUAUGUGUAAAUUAAAAGUCUAUGUUGGUUCUCAUUCAAUAAUAGAGUAGUUGUUUGACCAUCUGUGAUACACGGAAGAACAAAAUCAAACAAACUAUAGUUUUGUGUACUUAAAGGCAUCUUCAGCUACUGAUUCUAUAUAAAAGAAAAAAUCUGAAAUCUUUUCCAAAUGUCCCAUCAGGACAAGUGGAAGCAUAUCAUGAUCAAAUAGGACCAACUUGGGUGGGGCUAAAGAUAGUGAUGUUACGCAGUAAAAAAGAUAUACAUAAAUCUUAGGCACAUUCCUGAUGGUAUUUGGAUAAAGGGGAAAUAAGUAAGAGAAAAGCAAAUAAAAGGAACUAUAUGGAUAAAAAUGUAAAGUUACUAAACAAAACUUAAAAAAAGGAAAAGGGAAGACUGAGCUAGUCUUGCUUCCUUAGAAUGAGUUUUGAGUUUCAGAUGAAUCAUGUUAAUUCUUACCGCCAGAUUUGGGUGUGUUAUUGAGCCUACAAUAAUGAACUUAUUUAAAGUUUAAACUGUAAUCCCCUUCAUGCUUAGCAUUUAACAUUGGAUGCAACAAUUUAGUAACUUCCAAGAUCAUGUAAUUAGCAACAGCAUUAUUAUAGGACCAAUGGGAAAAACUCUUAUCCUAAACAAUCAAAUGCUUGAGGUAGGGAAAAGAAGUAAUUGUCAUAAUAGGACCUAUUGUUAAAACUAUAUAUAAUUUAACUAAUGACAAACAAAAUCAAAGGACAACAUUAUUUGCUUCCAUAUUAUAGAUCAUGAGUGUUAAAAAUCAUAAGAGGAGAGAAAAUUAAACUUACCCAUAGAGUGGGCCUGCUAGAAUUUUUAAGCAAAUAAAUUACAAAUUAGCUCUUAAAUGCAAAAACCGAAAUAUCACCUGCUAAACAAUCUGACAGAUUCAUUAGUGUAUAACUACUAUAUAUUUCUGUACAAACCAUUUACUUUCAGUUUUUAUUCUUUGCCGGUGAUUUUCAUUUAUGUAAUUCUUGUACCGAAAUGCAAUCAUCUUUCAGUAUAUCAUGAAUAAUAUAAAAAAAGAUCAAUGAAAACAUGUCUUAGCUCCUAAUGUUACGGCUAAUCAAUAUAUCAUGUCAUACAAAAGAGCAAGUUUUUUAAAGUAAGUCACAGGAAAAA
Dioscorea cayenensis subsp. rotundata (Guinea yam) is the source of this 2341-nucleotide long non-coding RNA. RefSeq lists it as uncharacterized. The transcript is spliced from 2 exons. The record is from RefSeq and is a predicted model, not a curated record. NCBI's taxonomy places the organism in Eukaryota, Viridiplantae, Streptophyta, Magnoliopsida, Dioscoreales, Dioscoreaceae.